UCCGGCUUAUCACCGGCAGUUUCCUCAGAGUGCUCAGCCUAACCUGUUAGCAACAGAGGACGAGGGUUGCGCUCGUUGCGGGACUUAACCCAACAUCUCACGACACGAGCUGACGACAGCCAUGCAGCACCUGUGCAUCUCCCACCCGAAGUGAAGGGAUCCUUUUCGGGAUCCCAUAGAGAGCAUGUCAAGCCCUGGUAAGGUUCUUCGCGUUGCCUCGAAUUAAACCACAUGUUCCACCGCUUGUGCGGGUCCCCGUCAAUUUCUUUGAGUUUUAAUCUUGCGACCGUACUCCCCAGGCGGGGUGCUUAACGCGUUAGCUACGCUACUGAGAGGUAACCUCCCAACAGCUAGCACCCAUCGUUUACAGCGUGGACUAC
RNAcentral lists this unclassified non-coding RNA (380 nucleotides) under uncultured Rickettsiales bacterium. RNAcentral describes it as "contains 16S-23S intergenic spacer region". Lineage: Bacteria; Pseudomonadati; Pseudomonadota; Alphaproteobacteria; Rickettsiales. The record is from RNAcentral.